GGGGGUGUAGCUCAGUUGGGAGAGCGCCUGCCUUGCAAGCAGGAGGUCAGCGGUUCGAAUCCGCUCACCUCCA
Natranaerobius thermophilus JW/NM-WN-LF is the source of this 73-nucleotide transfer RNA. It matches the Rfam family "tRNA". Rfam says of the family: Transfer RNA (tRNA) molecules are approximately 80 nucleotides in length. Their secondary structure includes four short double-helical elements and three loops (D, anti-codon, and T loops). The record is from Rfam. NCBI's taxonomy places the organism in Bacteria, Bacillati, Bacillota, Clostridia, Natranaerobiales, Natranaerobiaceae.